Molecule: long non-coding RNA, 228 nt
Filed under: Elaeis guineensis (African oil palm)
Lineage: Eukaryota; Viridiplantae; Streptophyta; Magnoliopsida; Arecales; Arecaceae
Description: long non-coding RNA (EGUI_LNC027241)
Source: RNAcentral
CGUGGGAUCGAUCCAUACUCGUCGGACGUGCUACAUUGCACACCGUAUGCUUGCGAUAAAUUUAAGACACAUCAAAUUUUUGGUGCCAUUGUCAGAGAAUUUGGCGUGUUUAAAUUGUGUUUCAAAUUUUUGUUCUUCGUAUUUUUAGCCUUAGUUAUUGUAAUUCUUUUCUAUCUUCUUUUAGUUAUUUUAGUCAGAUCCAAAAUCUAUCUUGACAUAUGGUUGUCC